Molecule: ribosomal RNA, 253 nt
Filed under: uncultured bacterium
Lineage: Bacteria
Description: partial 16S ribosomal RNA
Rfam family: Bacterial small subunit ribosomal RNA
Source: RNAcentral
UACGUAGGGUGCAAGCGUUGUCCGGAAUUAUUGGGCGUAAAGAGCUCGUAGGCGGUUUGUCGCGUCUGCUGUGAAAACUCGGGGCUUAACUCCGGGCCUGCAGUGGGUACGGGCAGACUAGAGUGCGGUAGGGGAGACUGGAAUUCCAGGUGUAGCGGUGAAAUGCGUAGAUAUCUGGAGGAAUACCGGUGGCGAAGGCGGCAUCCUGGACCGGCAUUGACGCUGAGGAGCGAAAGCCAGGGGAGCAAACGGG